GAUGAACGCUGGCGGCGUGCCUAAUACAUGCAAGUCGAGCGAACGGACGAGAAGCUUGCUUCUCUGAUGUUAGCGGCGGACGGGUGAGUAACACGUGGAUAACCUACCUAUAAGACUGGGAUAACUUCGGGAAACCGUAGCUAAUACCGGAUAAUAUUUUGAACCGCAUGGUUCAAAAGUGAAAGACGGUCUUGCUGUCACUUAUAGAUGGAUCCGCGCUGCAUUAGCUAGUUGGUAAGGUAACGGCUUACCAAGGCAACGAUGCAUAGCCGACCUGAGAGGGUGAUCGGCCACACUGGAACUGAGACACGGUCCAGACUCCUACGGGAGGCAGCAGUAGGGAAUCUUCCGCAAUGGGCGAAAGCCUGACGGAGCAACGCCGCGUGAGUGAUGAAGGUCUUCGGAUCGUAAAACUCUGUUAUUAGGGAAGAACAUAUGUGUAAGUAACUGUGCACAUCUUGACGGUACCUAAUCAGAAAGCCACGGCUAACUACGUGCCAGCAGCCGCGGUAAUACGUAGGUGGCAAGCGUUAUCCGGAAUUAUUGGGCGUAAAGCGCGCGUAGGCGGUUUUUUAAGUCUGAUGUGAAAGCCCACGGCUCAACCGUGGAGGGUCAUUGGAAACUGGAAAACUUGAGUGCAGAAGAGGAAAGUGGAAUUCCAUGUGUAGCGGUGAAAUGCGCAGAGAUAUGGAGGAACACCAGUGGCGAAGGCGACUUUCUGGUCUGUAACUGACGCUGAUGUGCGAAAGCGUGGGGAUCAAACAGGAUUAGAUACCCUGGUAGUCCACGCCGUAAACGAUGAGUGCUAAGUGUUAGGGGGUUUCCGCCCCUUAGUGCUGCAGCUAACGCAUUAAGCACUCCGCCUGGGGAGUACGACCGCAAGGUUGAAACUCAAAGGAAUUGACGGGGACCCGCACAAGCGGUGGAGCAUGUGGUUUAAUUCGAAGCAACGCGAAGAACCUUACCAAAUCUUGACAUCCUUUGACAACUCUAGAGAUAGAGCCUUCCCCUUCGGGGGACAAAGUGACAGGUGGUGCAUGGUUGUCGUCAGCUCGUGUCGUGAGAUGUUGGGUUAAGUCCCGCAACGAGCGCAACCCUUAAGCUUAGUUGCCAUCAUUAAGUUGGGCACUCUAAGUUGACUGCCGGUGACAAACCGGAGGAAGGUGGGGAUGACGUCAAAUCAUCAUGCCCCUUAUGAUUUGGGCUACACACGUGCUACAAUGGACAAUACAAAGGGCAGCGAAACCGCGAGGUCAAGCAAAUCCCAUAAAGUUGUUCUCAGUUCGGAUUGUAGUCUGCAACUCGACUACAUGAAGUUGGAAUCGCUAGUAAUCGUAGAUCAGCAUGCUACGGUGAAUACGUUCCCGGGUCU
This 1372-nucleotide ribosomal RNA is filed under the name uncultured bacterium. Its description in RNAcentral is "bacterial SSU rRNA". It matches the Rfam family "Bacterial small subunit ribosomal RNA", at positions 28 to 1381 of the family's 1533-position model. The record is from RNAcentral.